This 253-nucleotide ribosomal RNA is filed under the name uncultured bacterium. RNAcentral's name for it is "partial 16S ribosomal RNA". It matches the Rfam family "Bacterial small subunit ribosomal RNA", at positions 524 to 776 of the family's 1533-position model. The record is from RNAcentral.
UACGGAGGGUGCGAGCGUUAAUCGGAAUUACUGGGCGUAAAGGGUGCGUAGGUGGUCUGAUAAGUUAGCUGUGAAAGUCCUGGGCUUAACCUAGGGAGGUCAGCUAAGACUGUUAGACUUGAGUCUAGGAGAGGGUAGUGGAAUUUCCGGUGUAGCGGUGAAAUGCGUAGAGAUCGGAAGGAACACCAGUGGCGAAGGCGGCUACCUGGCCUAAGACUGACACUGAGGCACGAAAGCGUGGGGAGCAAACAGG